UUGAACGCUGGCGGCAGGCCUAACACAUGCAAGUCGAACGGUAACAGGAAGAAGCUUGCUUCUUUGCUGACGAGUGGCGGCCGGGUGAGUAAUGUCUGGGAAACUGCCUGAUGGAGGGGGAUAACUACUGGAAACGGUAGCUAAUCCCGCAUAACGUCGCAAGACCAAAGAGGGGGACCUUCGGGCCUCUUGCCAUCGGAUGUGCCCAGAUGGGAUUAGCUAGUAGGUGGGGUAACGGCUCACCUAGGCGACGAUCCCUAGCUGGUCUGAGAGGAUGACCAGCCACACUGGAACUGAGACACGGUCCAGACGCCUACGGGAGGCAGCAGUGGGGAAUAGUGCACAAUGGGCGCAAGCCUGAUGCAGCCAUGCCGCGUGUAUGAAGAAGGCCUUCGGGUUGUAAAGUACUUUCAGCGGGGAGGAAGGGAGUAAAGUUAAUACCUUUGCUCAUUGACGUUACCCGCAGAAGAAGCACCGGCUAACUCCGUG
RNAcentral lists this ribosomal RNA (489 nucleotides) under uncultured bacterium. RNAcentral describes it as "partial 16S ribosomal RNA". It matches the Rfam family "Bacterial small subunit ribosomal RNA", at positions 30 to 507 of the family's 1533-position model. The record is from RNAcentral.